Molecule: ribosomal RNA, 253 nt
Filed under: uncultured bacterium
Lineage: Bacteria
Description: partial 16S ribosomal RNA
Rfam family: Bacterial small subunit ribosomal RNA
Source: RNAcentral
UACGAAGGUGGCGAGCGUUGUUCGGAUUUACUGGGCGUAAAGAGCACGUAGGCGGUUGGGUAAGCCUCUUGGGAAAGCUCCCGGCUUAACCGGGAAAGGUCGAGGGGAACUACUCAGCUAGAGGACGGGAGAGGAGCGCGGAAUUCCCGGUGUAGCGGUGAAAUGCGUAGAUAUCGGGAAGAAGGCCGGUGGCGAAGGCGGCGCUCUGGAACGUACCUGACGCUGAGGUGCGAAAGCGUGGGGAGCAAACAGG